UGCAAGUCGAGGGGCAUCGGGAUUGAAGCUUGCUUCAAUUGCCGGCGACCGGCGCACGGGUGCGUAACGCGUAUGUAACCUACCUAUAACAGGGGCAUAACACUGAGAAAUUGGUACUAAUUCCCCAUAAUAUUAGGAGAGGCAUCUCUCCGGGUUGAAAACUCCGGUGGUUAUAGAUGGACAUGCGUUGUAUUAGCUAGUUGGUGAGGUAACGGCUCACCAAGGCAACGAUACAUAGGGGGACUGAGAGGUUAACCCCCCACACUGGUACUGAGACACGGACCAGACUCCUACGGGAGGCAGCAGUGAGGAAUAUUGGUCAAUGGACGCAAGUCUGAACCAGCCAUGCCGCGUGCAGGAAGACGGCUCUAUGAGUUGUAAACUGCUUUUGUACGAGGGUAAACUCACCUACGUGUAGGUGACUGAAAGUAUCGUACGAAUAAGGAUCGGCUAACUCCGUGCCAGCAGCCGCGGUAAUACGGAGGAUUCAAGCGUUAUCCGGAUUUAUUGGGUUUAAAGGGUGCGUAGGCGGUUUGAUAAGUUAGAGGUGAAAUCCCGGGGCUUAACUCCGGAACUGCCUCUAAUACUGUUAGACUAGAGAGUAGUUGCGGUAGGCGGAAUGUAUGGUGUAGCGGUGAAUGCUUAGAGAUCAUACA
RNAcentral lists this ribosomal RNA (656 nucleotides) under uncultured Bacteroidales bacterium. RNAcentral's name for it is "bacterial SSU rRNA". It matches the Rfam family "Bacterial small subunit ribosomal RNA", at positions 56 to 703 of the family's 1533-position model. Lineage: Bacteria; Pseudomonadati; Bacteroidota; Bacteroidia; Bacteroidales. The record is from RNAcentral.